AUAUUGCGUUAGGGAUUGAAGUGGAAAUCCUUUUACUUUUUUCUUUAAAAAGUAAAAGAUUGUAGCGGAAAGCCCGACCGCUU
RNAcentral lists this small RNA (83 nucleotides) under Flavobacterium aquatile LMG 4008 = ATCC 11947. RNAcentral describes it as "Flavobacterium aquatile LMG 4008 Flavo-1 RNA". It matches the Rfam family "Flavo-1 RNA". Lineage: Bacteria; Pseudomonadati; Bacteroidota; Flavobacteriia; Flavobacteriales; Flavobacteriaceae. The record is from Rfam by way of RNAcentral.